GAUCCGGCGUCAACGGAGGCGGAACGGUGGACCCCGUACCCUGGCAGCAUCGGAGCACCGGCGGGUGAAGGCAAGGUCCCUGGACUGGUCAUAUACUUCUUGUGGCCCUGGCAGAAUCAAGAUGAGGCCCUGUCAUGCCUCCCCAGUGAGGCCUACAGUCUGAGCAGACAGCAUGGCCUGCCAUUGGCAGUGAACACCAUGUCUGCAGGAGGUGGCCGGGCCUUUGCUUGAUGGUAUGGUGUAUGCUCUGGGGGGAAUGGGCCCUGACACGGCCCCCCAGGCCCAGGUACGUGUGUAUGAGCCCCGUCGGGACUGCUGGCUUUCGCUACCCUCCAUGCCCACACCCUGCUAUGGGGCCUCCACCUUCCUGCACGGGAACAAGAUCUAUGUCCUGGGGGGCCGCCAGGGCAAGCUCCCGGUGACUGCUUUUGAAGCCUUUGAUCUGGAGGCCCGUACAUGGACCCGGCAUCCAAGCCUACCCAGCCGUCGGGCCUUUGCUGGCUGCGCCAUGGCUGAAGGCAGCGUCUUUAGCCUGGGUGGCCUGCAGCAGCCUGGGCCCCACAACUUCUACUCUCGCCCACAUUUUGUCAACACUGUGGAGAUGUUUGACCUGGAGCAUGGGUCCUGGACCAAACUGCCCCGCAGCCUGCGCAUGAGGGAUAAGAGGGCAGACUUUGUGGUUGGGUCCCUUGGGGGCCACAUUGUGGCCAUUGGGGGCCUUGGUAA
This 726-nucleotide small RNA is filed under the name Pan troglodytes (chimpanzee). Its description in RNAcentral is "processed transcript". Lineage: Eukaryota; Metazoa; Chordata; Mammalia; Primates; Hominidae. The record is from RNAcentral.